AUUGAACGCUGGCGGAAUGCUUUACACAUGCAAGUCGAACGGCAGCACGGGAGCUUGCUCCUGGUGGCGAGUGGCGAACGGGUGAGUAACGCGUCGGAACGUACCGAGUAAUGGGGGAUAACGCAGCGAAAGCUGUGCUAAUACCGCAUACGCCCUGAGGGGGAAAGUGGGGGAUCGCAAGACCUCACGUUAUUCGAGCGGCCGACGUCUGGUUAGCUUGUUGGUGAGGUAAUGGCUCACCAAGGCGACGAUCAGUAGCGGGUCUGAGAGGAUGAUCCGUUACACUGGAACUGAGACACGGUCCAGACUCCUACGGGAGGCAGCAGUGGGGAAUUUUGGACAAUGGGGGAAACCCUGAUCCAGCCAUUCCGCGUGAGUGAAGAAGGCCUCGGUUGUAAGUACGU
RNAcentral lists this ribosomal RNA (404 nucleotides) under uncultured bacterium. RNAcentral describes it as "bacterial SSU rRNA". It matches the Rfam family "Bacterial small subunit ribosomal RNA", at positions 30 to 435 of the family's 1533-position model. The record is from RNAcentral.